RNAcentral lists this ribosomal RNA (246 nucleotides) under uncultured bacterium. Its description in RNAcentral is "partial 16S ribosomal RNA". It matches the Rfam family "Bacterial small subunit ribosomal RNA", at positions 524 to 769 of the family's 1533-position model. The record is from RNAcentral.
UACGUAGGGUGCGAGCGUUGUCCGGAAUUAUUGGGCGUAAAGAGCUCGUAGGCGGCUUGUCACGUCUGCUGUGAAAACUCGGGGCUCAACCCCGAGCCUGCAGUGGAUACGGGCUGCUAGGGUCCGGCAGGGGAGACUGGAAUUCCUGGUGUAGCGGUGAAAUGCGCAGAUAUCAGGAGGAACACCGGUGGCGAAGGCGGGUCUCGUGGGCCGGUACCGACGCUGAGGAGCGAAAGCGUGGGGAGC